This 203-nucleotide long non-coding RNA is filed under the name Lathyrus oleraceus (garden pea). RNAcentral describes it as "Pisum sativum (pea) long non-coding RNA (PSAT_LNC031867)". The record is from RNAcentral. Lineage: Eukaryota; Viridiplantae; Streptophyta; Magnoliopsida; Fabales; Fabaceae.
UUCAGAUGGCGCUGAUAACUUCAGAGUUUGCAGAAGACAUUUGUUCAGAGUCAGAGCUUCUAGACUUUACUUCAUGUUCAGAUGCUUCUGAUAUUUUGUAGUUUUGUCCAGAGUCAGAGCUUCUUGAAACGAGAUUUCACUUUAGAUGCUUCUGAUACUUGAGAUUUUGCAUCUGAUCUUGUUUUGCAUCUGAUGACAUCAUC